GACGAACGCUGGCGGCGUGCUUAACACAUGCAAGUCGAACGGAAAGGCCCUGCUUUUGUGGGGUGCUCGAUUGGCGAACGGGUGAGUAACACGUGAGUAACCUGCCCUUGACUUUGGGAUAACUUCAGGAAACUGGGGCUAAUACCGGAUAGGAUCUCCUGCUGCAUGGUGGGGGUUGGAAAGUUUCGGCGGUUGGGGAUGGACUCGCGGCUUAUCAGCUGGUUGGUGGGGUAGUGGCUUACCAAGGCUUUGACGGGUAGCCGGCCUGAGAGGGUGACCGGCCACAUUGGGACUGAGAUACGGCCCAGAAGCCUACGGGAGGCAGCAGGGGGGAAUAUUGCACAAUGGGCGGAAGCCUGAUGCAGCAACGCCGCGUGCGGGAUGACGGCCUUCGGGUUGUAAACCGCUUUCGCCUGUGACGAAGAGUGAGUGACGGUAAUGGGUAAAGAAGCAACGGCUAACUACGUG
RNAcentral lists this ribosomal RNA (468 nucleotides) under uncultured bacterium. RNAcentral's name for it is "partial 16S ribosomal RNA". It matches the Rfam family "Bacterial small subunit ribosomal RNA", at positions 28 to 507 of the family's 1533-position model. The record is from RNAcentral.